RNAcentral lists this long non-coding RNA (1233 nucleotides) under Apteryx rowi (Okarito brown kiwi). RNAcentral's name for it is "lncRNA (ENSARWG00000005982.1)". Lineage: Eukaryota; Metazoa; Chordata; Aves; Apterygiformes; Apterygidae. The record is from RNAcentral.
GAAAAAUAUAAUUAGUAAUGCAUGACUUUUAUACACUGUUUUUCAUGUGGCAGGUUUUACAAAGGAAGCAGACACAGAGAUAAAAAAUUCAUGGUUGAGGGCAGAAAUGGAAGAGCUCACAUCUCCACUUUCUCAGUCUGAUACAAUAUCCACAGGAGCUUGCUGCCUGACAAAUCAGUUAGAGAAUGGUGGAGCCCAGAAGCCCCAGCCAAAAACUGGAAUCUAUUUUCUUCUGUGGUACAAUGUAAACAGCUUGCAUACCGGAAAAAAAAAAAGAGAACAAUAUUUGUGAAAGCUCUGAUCCUGUUUAUACAUAUACAUAUACUGCCAGAGGAGAUAACACUCUUCUGAUAAAAGGCCUGCAUUUUGCAUCUCUUUAUUUGAUCACAUUCUCCAGGGGUAAGUGUUUCUUCUUCACCUAACACAUGCUGCUUCUUUGUGAAUGAGAAGAGGACAGAAAAGUAGCAAGGAAGAAAUACACAGAAAACAGGCCUCAGAGAGCUACAGACAACUUUCCAAGGAGGGUUCUGAGAGAGAGGUGCAGGGGACUGCAAGUCUUCAAAGCCCAUGGUCUGUGGUCCAAGAGCCAAAAACAGUCACAAACUUUUCAACCGUUUGGAUGAAAAACUACAGCUCAUCUUGCUACUGCUUAUUCUUCAACAAGAAAAAGAAGGUAACAUCUAUGAAUAAUACAUUCUUUGGCUGACCUUGUCUUCAUCCCGAAUUGAGGAGCUUUUUGACUGAUUGGCCACCAUUUCUGUUUUUGAAUUUGACAGUGUCUUACAAAUGUGUCAAGUUAGGGCAGAGACAUAGCCCAAAUCAAGAGUAUCUCCAGGUAGAAUCUUCUGUUUUGAGGACCUAAGUUUUCAAAAGUUAAAAUGCAAUGAUCUCUGAGUACUGCUUGGAUGCCAUUUUGUGAUAGCUUUAUAAAAGUAUGACUCAGAGCAUGUAAUUAAUCCCUACAGCAUCUCACUCUUUGACAAGUUUUGCAACAAAUGGGACUUCACAAUAAUGGUGAAAUAAUUUUAUUUCCAAAAUGGCAGAAUGAAUUCAGCUGCAACAGUUCUGCUGGGGCUAUAGCAACGUAUUUAUUUCUUUACUUAGGAAAAAAAUCCAGUAAAGAUGGAUGUCUUCCACUUCAAAGCAAGGAAAGAAUUGUGAGACCCAACAAUGUAUAUGUAUAUGUGUAUGUGUACGAAUAAAGUUUAUUACAGACUUCUCUGGGUAAAUUUC